CAAUAGCGUAUAUUAAAGUUGUUGCAGUUAAAAAGCUCGUAGUUGGAUUUCUGGGAGGGUGCCAAUGUCCGCCAACGUGCGUGCGCAGCGGCGCCCUUCCAUCCUUCUGUUAACGCUUCUCGGCAUUAACUUGCCGGUGGCGGGCUCAGAUAUUUUACCUUGAGAAAAUUAGAGUGUUUCAGGCAGGCUAGGCCGGAAUACAUUAGCAUGGAAUAAUGGAACAGGACUGGUGGUCUCUUUGUUGGUUUGAGGGACUGCAGUAAUGAUUAAUAGGGAUAGUUGGGGGCAUUAGUAUUUAAUUGUCAGAGGUGGAAUUCUCAGAUUUGUUAAAGACUAACUUAUGCGAAAGCAUUUGCCAAGGAUGUUUUCAUUAAUCAAGAACGAAAGUUAGAGGUUCGAAGAUGAUCAGAUACCAU
RNAcentral lists this ribosomal RNA (416 nucleotides) under uncultured eukaryote. RNAcentral's name for it is "SSU rRNA". It matches the Rfam family "Eukaryotic small subunit ribosomal RNA", at positions 592 to 1018 of the family's 1831-position model. The record is from RNAcentral.